UGUUAACUUCUCCUUGAUGGCUCCU
This 25-nucleotide non-coding RNA is filed under the name Rattus norvegicus (Norway rat). Lineage: Eukaryota; Metazoa; Chordata; Mammalia; Rodentia; Muridae. The record is from RNAcentral.